ACAUGCAGAGAACUUUCCGAGAGAUGGAUUGGUGCCUUCGGGAACUCUGACACAGGUGCUGCAUGGCUGCCGUCAGCUCGUGUCGUGAGAUGUUGGGUUAAGUCCGUAACGAGCGCAACCCUUGUCCUUAGUUACCAGCACGUUAUGGUGGGCACUCUAAGGGGACUGCCGGUGACAAACCGGAGGAAGGUGGGAUGACGUCAAGUCAUCAUGGCCCUUACGGCCUGGGCUACACACGUGCUACAAUGGUCGGUACAAAGGGUUGCCAAGCCGCGAGGUGGAGCUAAUCCCAUAAAACCGAUCGUAGUCCGGAUCGCAGUCUGCAACUCGACUGCGUGAAGUCGGAAUCGCUAGUAAUCGUGAAUCAGAAUGUCACGGUGAAUACGUUCCCGGGCCUU
This 398-nucleotide ribosomal RNA is filed under the name uncultured Pseudomonas sp. RNAcentral describes it as "bacterial SSU rRNA". It matches the Rfam family "Bacterial small subunit ribosomal RNA", at positions 984 to 1382 of the family's 1533-position model. The record is from RNAcentral. Lineage: Bacteria; Pseudomonadati; Pseudomonadota; Gammaproteobacteria; Pseudomonadales; Pseudomonadaceae.